CAAACCAAAGCUGGCGACCGGCGCACGGGUGAGUAACACGUAUCCAACCUGCCUCAUACUCGGGGAUAGCCUUUCGAAAGAAAGAUUAAUAUCCGAUAGCAUAUAUUUCCCGCAUGGGUUUUAUAUUAAAGAAAUUCGGUAUGAGAUGGGGAUGCGUUCCAUUAGUUUGUUGGGGGGUAACGGCCCACCAAGACUACGAUGGAUAGGGGUUCUGAGAGGAAGGUCCCCCACAUUGGAACUGAGACACGGUCCAA
Molecule: ribosomal RNA, 254 nt
Filed under: uncultured bacterium
Lineage: Bacteria
Description: partial 16S ribosomal RNA
Rfam family: Bacterial small subunit ribosomal RNA
Source: RNAcentral